This 472-nucleotide ribosomal RNA is filed under the name uncultured Actinomycetes bacterium. Its description in RNAcentral is "bacterial SSU rRNA". It matches the Rfam family "Bacterial small subunit ribosomal RNA", at positions 28 to 504 of the family's 1533-position model. The record is from RNAcentral. Lineage: Bacteria; Bacillati; Actinomycetota; Actinomycetes.
GACGAACGCUGGCGGCGUGCUUAACACAUGCAAGUCGAACGCUGAAGCUCUGCCCUUGUGGUGGGGUGGAUGAGUGGCGAACGGGUGAGUAACACGUGGGUAAUCUGCCCCAUACUCUGGGAUAACCCCUGGAAACGGGGGCUAAUACCGGAUAGGACAUUCUGCCGCAUGGUGGGGUGUGGAAAGUUCCGGCGGUAUGGGAUGGGCCCGCGGCCUAUCAGCUUGUUGGUGGGGUAAUGGCCUACCAAGGCGACGACGGGUAGCCGGCCUGAGAGGGUGACCGGCCACACUGGGACUGAGACACGGCCCAGACUCCUACGGGAGGCAGCAGUGGGGAAUCUUGCGCAAUGGGCGAAAGCCUGACGCAGCAACGCCGCGUGGGGGAUGAAGGCCUUCGGGUUGUAAACCUCUUUCACCAUCGACGAAGCCCUUUGGGGUGACGGUAGGUGGGGAAGAAGCACCGGCUAACUAC